CAAUAGCGUAUAUUUAAGUUGUUGCAGUUAAAAAGCUCGUAGUCGGAUUUUGGCUGAGAACGAUCGGUCCGCCGUUAGGUGUGCACUGAUUGGUCUCAGCUUCCUGGUGAGGAGGUGUGCUUCACGGCCACUUAGUCACCGUGGUUACUUUGAAAAAAUUAGAGUGUUCAAAGCGGGCUUACGCUUGAAUAUAUUAGCAUGGAAUAACACCAUAGGACUCCUGUCCUAUUUCGUUGGUCUCGGGACGGGAGUAAUGAUUAAGAGGAACAGUUGGGGGCAUUCGUAUUUCAUUGUCAGAGGUGAAAUUCUCGGAUUUAUGAAAGACGAACUUCUGCGAAAGCAUUUGCCAAGGAUGUUUUCAUUGA
RNAcentral lists this ribosomal RNA (365 nucleotides) under uncultured eukaryote. RNAcentral describes it as "partial 18S ribosomal RNA". It matches the Rfam family "Eukaryotic small subunit ribosomal RNA", at positions 592 to 976 of the family's 1831-position model. The record is from RNAcentral.